AGUUCUGGUUACUUUGACGUUAACCUGCCAUGUGACUUCAAGUCACCAGCAGUAGGUGGCGUUCUGCCAAGGUUUCCACCACAUCGCUAAGGCCCCUUCCAGCCUAAGGCUCCUUCUAGUGACAACCUGUGGACAGUGGCCGGCCACACUCUGAUAACCUUCAGGAAAUGUAUUCUCCCAUUUGUACCUACAGUUACCUCCUAGGUAAAGCCAAGCUGGGUCAUGGGUGAUUUGCUCCCUGCUUACAGCUGGAACUCUCUUUCUUCUUCCACUGGCCUGUGAUGGGCCAACAUAAUAGAACCUUAACACUCACUGGGAUACCUAGUGCAGCACCUAGCACAGCCAAAUCUAGCUCAUCUGAACCAUUGCCCUCCAGUUAUAAGGGAGGAAAGGGAGAAUGACUCAGCUCAAAGGAACUGCUUAGAUAUGGAUACAGCAUGCUACUUCUCAUGUAAGUCUUCAAAAUCCAGUGUGUAUUUUACAUUUAUGGUACAUCUCCAGUACUCAAGCCUCCUUUCAAAUGAACAAUAGCCACAAGGGACUGGUGGCUUCCACAUGGGACAGGAUGGGUCUAGACUGAAUUUCUUCAUUCAUAACAAAGCUGCAUUUCCCUCUUUGGAGUUUGUAGGUUGAGGCAAGGUGAGCACAGGCUUUGGUUGCUCAAUGAUGAUAAAGAACAUGCACAACCUAUAAGCAGGAGAA
Molecule: long non-coding RNA, 702 nt
Organism: Gorilla gorilla gorilla (western lowland gorilla)
Lineage: Eukaryota; Metazoa; Chordata; Mammalia; Primates; Hominidae
Exons: 4
Source: RefSeq, a predicted model, not a curated record